GACGAACGCUGGCGGCGUGCCUAACACAUGCAAGUCGAACGGAAAGGCCCUGCUUGCAGGGUACUCGAGUGGCGAACGGGUGAGUAACACGUGGGUGAUCUGCCCUGCACUUCGGGAUAAGCCUGGGAAACUGGGUCUAAUACCGGAUAGGACCAUCGUUUAGUGUCGGUGGUGGAAAGUUUUUCGGUGCAGGAUGAGCUCGCGGCCUAUCAGCGUGUUGGUGGGGUAAUGGCCUACCAAGGCGUCGACGGGUAGCCGGCCGGCGAGGGUGGGCGGCCACAUUGGGACUGAGACACGGCCCAGACUCCUACGGGAGGCAGCAGUGGGGAAUAUUGCACAAUGGGCGCAAGCCUGAUGCAGCGACGCCGCGUGGGGGAUGAAGGCCUUCGGGUUGUAAACUCCUUUCAACCAUGACGAAGCGUAAGUGACGGUAGUGGUAGAAGAAGCACCGGCUAACUACGUGCCAGCCGCCGCAGUAA
RNAcentral lists this ribosomal RNA (479 nucleotides) under uncultured bacterium. RNAcentral describes it as "partial 16S ribosomal RNA". It matches the Rfam family "Bacterial small subunit ribosomal RNA", at positions 28 to 523 of the family's 1533-position model. The record is from RNAcentral.